Molecule: ribosomal RNA, 253 nt
Filed under: uncultured bacterium
Lineage: Bacteria
Description: partial 16S ribosomal RNA
Rfam family: Bacterial small subunit ribosomal RNA
Source: RNAcentral
UACGGAGGGUGCGAGCGUUGUCCGGAAUCACUGGGCGUAAAGGGCGCGUAGGCGGCCUGAUAAGUAGGGGGUGAAAUCUUGCGGCUUAACCGCAAGGCUGCCUUCUAAACUGUCAGGCUAGAGCACAGUAGAGGCAGGUGGAAUUCCAGGUGUAGCGGUGAAAUGCGUAGAUAUCUGGAGGAACACCGGUGGCGAAGGCGGCGUUCUGGACUGCAUCUGACACUGAAAGACGAAAGCCAGGGGAGCAAACGGG